UGUGGGUUGUGUCCCGUGUACGUCUCCACUGAAUUAACUCCACUUAUUUUGAUUUAUUUAUUUAUUUAUUAAGAAAAAUAAGUCUUGUUGGAACAAACAUGCAGACCUUCACUGCUCAGGAGGACUACAAACCAAAGUAAAACUAGGGGCCAGCAAAAACAUGGUGCUCCACGGUCUUAAUUUAAUAAAACACAGUGGAACCCCCUGAAAUAGCGUGAAAUUCAGAAGCCUGUGGUGGGGCUGAAGCGUGGUGUGCUGGCUGGCAGAUGUUUGGAAAGGUGCUAAGAUGUAACUCUUAUUGUCCAUAGAAUUUGCUGUUAAUCACUUGCAAGAUACAAAGUGACGGCCAGCUGGAUGAAUAGGAGAAUGUAUGUGAACACCCAGAACUGACAGACCCGGGACGGUGCAAGUGGCUUGAAGUGGGCACUGAGAGAAAGCUCAGACAACAUUUAUACAUGCUAUUAACAUUCAAAUUAAUUUCCAUCAGGACACGACUUAAUUAAGGUGAGCUGUACAAAGUUCAUCUCAUUUCCCUUUACGCUCAAUUCCAUACACAAUGUAUGUUACCAGAGAGAUACUGCGCUAUGCUUCACUACUUUAAUCACUGGCCUGUCCCAUUGUAGUUCAGGAACGCAUGCAAGUGUACUGUUCUUAUUAGAGGCACGGUCUGGAAAAGAUGGCCGGGGAGCUGAACAGCAUUUCUAUUUCAGCUGCUGAAGCGCCCACUAACUUUGGAUGUCGCCUAAACCUUCAGAUGGAAUCCUUGCAGGCAUUCCCGUGGGGAUCGGGAAAUUGCAGUAUGCCGGAACUACCGUUGCUGAUGUGGGGCGAGCGCUCUGAAGUGCACUUGGAGAAGGACACAUUCAAAUACGGCAUAUAUGAAAAGUUUAAUAUUUUAGACAGCUAGAUGAAAUGCUGGGGUCUUGGUGCAUUUUGCUUUGGCGGUCCAGGCUUUUCAGCAUCUUAGGGAAAUGUUUGGAAAUGAAUUUUAUUUUCACAACUGUGGUACAAUUACAAGGCGGGGAUGUUUCAGCCUUCUCAACGAGGUGCCCUUGGUGGUGGUGGUCUGUAAAUGGCUACAGAACUGACAGAGAACUCUGCAAGCAUUUUCUUUCCCCCAUUUGCCCAGUCUGCCCGCCUCUGUGAUCCCCCGCAGCACUGGCUGGAAGUCCGCCGCGCAUCAGUGAGGAGCUGCUUCAGAAGAAAGAAGAAGCGGCGUGGGGACCUGGGCUGCAAAAUCAAGAUGGGGCAUCUGUUGACUGUUUUUCUUGUAUUUCUUUGCCUUUUGGAGCCACAGUUUUGAACGGUUGUGUAAGACUUUAUCACUCUUUUUGUCAGCGUCGUCAGCUGUGAAUAAAGUUUUUUUUCCAUGUUGUUUUUCCUGUUAUAUUUGCUGUUCAUUUCCUUUGUGUAUUUAUUCUUGGUUUUGAG
Long non-coding RNA from Gallus gallus (chicken), 1431 nucleotides. The record is from Ensembl. NCBI's taxonomy places the organism in Eukaryota, Metazoa, Chordata, Aves, Galliformes, Phasianidae.